Molecule: long non-coding RNA, 940 nt
Organism: Danaus plexippus (monarch butterfly)
Lineage: Eukaryota; Metazoa; Arthropoda; Insecta; Lepidoptera; Nymphalidae
Exons: 3
Source: RefSeq, a predicted model, not a curated record
ACAUAGGUGGCUAUACUUACUCCUUGACUUAUUAUAAUGCAUACAAAAUAACUAGUGCUUUUUUUAAUUUUUGGCCUUAAAAAGUUUGUUUUUUGCACUUUUUCUAUUAUACCUAUGUUCACAUAGAGAUGCUCACGUGCUAUAACUUCAUAGAUUGAUAAUAGCAUCAAUAAUAUUCAGGAUGCAAAUUCGUUAUAAACAUCAAUUUCCAUCGAUAACAAAAUAAUUAUUGAUGGAAUUCAAAGGUUUUUAUGUAAUUAAUCAAACCGCACCCACGAACCUAUAUAACACGGUUAUUUGAAUUUAAUAUAUGAUUUAACAAUUUUUCCUAUAAGUGUUCGCAUAUUUUUUCUGUUCUGAUUUCAGCAUGAAAGUCAUAUUUCUGGCGUGUUUAUUUGCCUUUGUGAGUACACAUAGACUUUAUGACGAUGUAUUGCCGAUUGAUAUGUUAGCUUUAGCCAAAAAACCUGAGGAAUUGAAUAAAUUCAUGGACUGUUUGCUUGAUAGAGGCCGUUGUAAUGAUGUGUAUAUAGGUUACAGAGUUUAUACUCCUCAAUCCGUUCGGGAAUCUUGUAAAAGAUGUACAACCGAUCAGAAAAUAUUUGUCUACUUAUUCUUGGAAACUCUUAAAAGAUUGUUACCAAAGAGUUACCACGAAUUUAGACAUAAAUAUGACCCAAAUAAUGAAUACUUUGACAACUUAGAGGCUGUAGUAUAUAAAUACAAGUUUGAACCGUGUCAAUAAGCUCAACUCCGUUUCAGUAACGAUGAGUGAUGUUAAAUUGUUAUAAAAUUAUUUGACAUUGUCGGAAGGAGAAACAAAUCAAAGACAAAUAUUUUGAAAAUGAUAUAAAAUCUUUCCAAUUUUCAUACAAGUGUCUCUAAUAUAUUGGUUAUAUUUACAUACACUAAUAAAUAAUUUAUAAUAUCUGUAAUUAAA